GCCGGGUGUGGUGGUGCACACCUGUAGUCCCAGCUACUCAGGAGGCUGAGGCACGAGAAUUGCUUGAACCUGGGAGGUGGAGGUUGCAGUGAGCCGAGAUAGCACCACUACACUCCAGCCUGGGUGACAGAGCAAGACUGUGUCUCAA
Macaca fascicularis (crab-eating macaque) is the source of this 148-nucleotide unclassified non-coding RNA. It matches the Rfam family "Metazoan signal recognition particle RNA". From Rfam's summary of the family: The signal recognition particle (SRP) is a universally conserved ribonucleoprotein. It is involved in the co-translational targeting of proteins to membranes. NCBI's taxonomy places the organism in Eukaryota, Metazoa, Chordata, Mammalia, Primates, Cercopithecidae. The record is from Ensembl.